UACGGGGGGGGCAAGCGUUGUUCGGAAUUACUGGGCGGAAAGGGCUCGUAGGCGGCCAACUAAGUCAGACGUGAAAUCCCUCGGCUUAACCGGGGAACUGCGUCUGAUACUGGAUGGCUAGAGGUUGGGAGAGGGAUGCGGAAUUCCAGGUGUAGCGGUGAAAUGCGUAGAUAUCGGAAGGAACAUCAGUGGCGAAAGCGACUUCCUGGACCAGUACCGACGUUCAGGCACGAAAGCGUGGGGAGCAAACAGG
RNAcentral lists this ribosomal RNA (253 nucleotides) under uncultured bacterium. RNAcentral's name for it is "partial 16S ribosomal RNA". It matches the Rfam family "Bacterial small subunit ribosomal RNA", at positions 524 to 776 of the family's 1533-position model. The record is from RNAcentral.